CCUACGGGCGGCAGCAGUGAGGAAUAUUGGUCAAUGGUCGGGAGACUGAACCAGCCAAGCCGCGUGAGGGAUGAAGGUACAGAGUAUCGUAAACCUCUUUUGUCAGGGAACAAAGGCGGGGACGUGUCCCCGGAUGAGUGUACCUGAAGAAAAAGCAUCGGCUAACUCCGUGCCAGCAGCCGCGGUAAUACGGAGGAUGCGAGCGUUAUCCGGUUUUAUUGGGUUUAAGGGGUGCGGAGGCGGUCUGUUAAGUCAGCGGUAAAAGCCGGGGGCUCAACCCCGGCCCGCCGUUGAAACUGGCAGUCUCGAGUUGGAGAGAAGUAUGCGGAAUGCGCGGUGUAGCGGUGAAAUGCAUAGAUAUCGCGCAGAACUCCGAUUGCGAAGGCAGCAUGCCGGCUCCACACUGACGCUGAGGCACGAAAGCGUGGGUAUCGAACAGGAUUAGAUACCCCUGUAGUC
This 459-nucleotide ribosomal RNA is filed under the name uncultured bacterium. Its description in RNAcentral is "partial 16S ribosomal RNA". It matches the Rfam family "Bacterial small subunit ribosomal RNA", at positions 338 to 795 of the family's 1533-position model. The record is from RNAcentral.